RNAcentral lists this ribosomal RNA (540 nucleotides) under Triticum aestivum (bread wheat). Its description in RNAcentral is "partial small subunit ribosomal RNA". Lineage: Eukaryota; Viridiplantae; Streptophyta; Magnoliopsida; Poales; Poaceae. The record is from RNAcentral.
AUGAGUUGUUUUCAGCUCACAAAGAAAACAUGCCGGAACUUGACUUCGAUCUCCUCGAAAUUCUGGUGGGGUGUAACGAAUGGUGAAAGGAAAGUGCAUUGGAUCUCUUGGCAAAAGAUGUGUGCUGCAAAGAGGGUUGGUGGUCUGGGGUUCCGUGACCCAAAGGCUUUCAAUCAAGCUUUGCUUGCGAAGCAAACCUGUAGAAUCCUGUAAGAACCAGACUCUUUAUGCGCGAAGGUCCUUAAAGCACGCUACUUCAAAGAAGAAACAAUCUUGUCGGCUACUUGCCCCUCUAAUGCUUCCUGCACUUACAGAAGUGUAUUACAUGGAACAGACCUUCUUCGAGAAGGACUGAUUUGGCAUAUAGGGGAUGGAUUUAAUAUUCAUAUUCGCCAUGACAAUUGGAUUCCGAGAAGAGGGAGUAUGAGAUCACUGGGUCAAAUCUUCGUGCCGGGAGUGACACGUGUGGCACACCUGCUCGCAGAUGAUGGGCGCGCAUGGGACUCAGCCAUAGUGAACGAAAUGUUCAGCCUUGAGUGA